Molecule: ribosomal RNA, 500 nt
Filed under: uncultured bacterium
Lineage: Bacteria
Description: partial 16S ribosomal RNA
Rfam family: Bacterial small subunit ribosomal RNA
Source: RNAcentral
AUUGAACGCUGGCGGAAUGCUUUACACAUGCAAGUCGAACGGCAGCACGGACUUCGGUCUGGUGGCGAGUGGCGAACGGGUGAGUAAUACAUCGGAACGUGCCCAAUCGUGGGGGAUAACGUAGCGAAAGCUACGCUAAUACCGCAUACGAUCUAAGGAUGAAAGCGGGGGAUCGCAAGACCUCGCGCGAUUGGAGCGGCCGAUGGCAGAUGAGGUAGUUGGUAGGGUAAAGGCCUACCAAGCCGACGAUCUGUAGCUGGUCUGAGAGGAUGAUCAGCCACACUAGGACUGAGACACGGCCCAGACUGCUACGGGAGGCAGCAGUGGGGAAUUUUGGACAAGGGACGCAAGUCUGAUCCAGCAAUGCCGCGUGCAGGAUGAAGGCCCUCGGGUUGUAAACUGCUUUUGUACAGAACGAAAAGGCUCUGGUUAAUACCUAGGGCUCAUGACGGUACUGUAAGAAUAAACACCGGCUAACUACGUGCCAGCAGCCGCCGUAA